UUUUUUUUUUUUUGCAGAUUUGGAAAAGUCAGUAGCAUAAAGGAAUUGCAAGGGACCCUGAAUAGCCAAAACAAUCGUGAAAAAGAAGAAAAACAACACCCUCAGCAACCUGUCCUGCUGGAAAAUUAUAUUUUCUUCCAUUGCGGCAAAAUGUGGCUAUGAGACCACAGGAGAAAACAAAGGGAAGUGUGCACAAUUUCUAGGAAACCUGCUGAGAAGGAAGGGGGGAGAACAGAGGGAGAAUUUAGAAGAUCUUAGAGGAUGUGACCAUCAAGUCAAAGAUUGGCAUCAUGCGGCCACAAGCCAAGAAAAUGCUGACAGCCCACCACCAGGAGCUGGAAGAAGCAAGGAGCAGAUUCUCCACUCGUUCCUUCAGAGGAAUGCAGCCCUGCCAACACUUUGAUUUGAGCCUGGUGAUCCUGAUUUUGGACUUCUGGCCUUCAGAAUUGGAGGGGUGAUGUAAUUGUCUAUAAGGAAUGAUGGUGAGAAGAACCUAUUUCCUUGAGAUGAGUUUUCCUCAGGAAAUAAGUUUGUCAUAUGAGGGUAGGAUGGGGAAGGAAAGAAGAGGGGUUCUGAAUCAAUUUUAUAGGGGGAGGAAUUUCUCGCCUUGGAGGAGUGCUAUAAGUUUCAAAGCAAAAAGAAUAGUUUCUGCUUUCUUUUGGGUUUUAGUCAGGGGUUAGGGCACGUUUGGAACAGGGCAUACAUAGCAGGUUGCAAAAAUACUUUACUCUUAACCAAGGCACCAAUGAUGGCCAUUUCACUGAAUCACAUAUGGAUUUCUUUGUCACCUCAGCACCAUCCCAUGCCACAGAGCACAUCUUUUCUGAAACAGUUUUUGUUUUUGUUUUUCCCGCCUGCUGUAACACUACACUCAUACGGUUUUCCCUCCAGAUUCCAGGACUGCUUUUUUAUUUAUUUUGCCUUUUGCCUUUUUGUUGGCCCUUCUCUAUCCUUGACCUUUGUAUUGUUCUCCAGAGCUUGGUCCUCAGCUCUCCUCUCUCUUCACUCCUUCCCGGCUCUUAAGGCUCUAAAUACUACCUGUGUUUCAACAACUCCCAAGUGUGUCUCCAGUCCAUAAUCCCUUUCCUGAACUACAGACUAACAGCAUACCUUGAUCUUUCCCUGAAAUCGGCUGUUCCUUCAGAAUUCCCAUUAUCAACAAAAUGCCACUACCAUCCAUCAAAUGCUAAAGCCAGGAACCUAAAGCUUCCUCCUUCAGCUUCUGGUCCAUCACCAAGUCCUGAUUUUCUGCCUCCCACAUACCUCUCCGUUCUCUCUGUUUCUUCCACUAGCUCUCUCAACUCAUAAUCACGUGACGAUGCUCCUGCAAGAGCUUCUUGGUUGGCCCUGCUUCUCUUCUUGCCCCUACCAGCCAUUCUCCAUUCAGUUGUCCAGAUAUUCUUUUAAGGAUCUUAGAUCUGGGAUAUCAUCAGGGCUUCCCCUUGCAGUUCCUUAUGGCUCCUGCCUACCUCUCAGCCUCAUCUCCCCACUCUUUUGGUCUACAACACUCCAGCCACUCUUAGCCUUUUUUCAGUUAUUUUUUCCCACCUCUGGGCUUUUUCAUAUGCUACUCGGUUUGUCUAGAAUGUCCUUCCCUCCACCACUGCCUGUCUGACUCCUACUCCCAUCCUCCGUUUCUCAGCAUAAAAGUCAUCAUCUUAGAGAAGUUUUCCUGAUGCCCCUUCAAUAUAAAUGAGAUUUCCUCUUUUAAUCUUCUAUUUUUUUUUAGAUUU
Mustela erminea (ermine) is the source of this 1733-nucleotide long non-coding RNA. RefSeq lists it as uncharacterized. The record is from RefSeq and is a predicted model, not a curated record. The transcript is spliced from 3 exons. Lineage: Eukaryota; Metazoa; Chordata; Mammalia; Carnivora; Mustelidae.